Molecule: ribosomal RNA, 730 nt
Filed under: Salmonella enterica
Lineage: Bacteria; Pseudomonadati; Pseudomonadota; Gammaproteobacteria; Enterobacterales; Enterobacteriaceae
Description: bacterial SSU rRNA
Rfam family: Bacterial small subunit ribosomal RNA
Source: RNAcentral
AAAUUGAAGAGUUUGAUCAUGGCUCAGAUUGAACGCUGGCGGCAGGCCUAACACAUGCAAGUCGAACGGUAACAGGAAGCAGCUUGCUGCUUUGCUGACGAGUGGCGGACGGGUGAGUAAUGUCUGGGAAACUGCCUGAUGGAGGGGGAUAACUACUGGAAACGGUGGCUAAUACCGCAUAACGUCGCAAGACCAAAGAGGGGGACCUUCGGGCCUCUUGCCAUCAGAUGUGCCCAGAUGGGAUUAGCUUGUUGGUGAGGUAACGGCUCACCAAGGCGACGAUCCCUAGCUGGUCUGAGAGGAUGACCAGCCACACUGGAACUGAGACACGGUCCAGACUCCUACGGGAGGCAGCAGUGGGGAAUAUUGCACAAUGGGCGCAAGCCUGAUGCAGCCAUGCCGCGUGUAUGAAGAAGGCCUUCGGGUUGUAAAGUACUUUCAGCGGGGAGGAAGGUGUUGUGGUUAAUAACCGCAGCAAUUGACGUUACCCGCAGAAGAAGCACCGGCUAACUCCGUGCCAGCAGCCGCGGUAAUACGGAGGGUGCAAGCGUUAAUCGGAAUUACUGGGCGUAAAGCGCACGCAGGCGGUCUGUCAAGUCGGAUGUGAAAUCCCCGGGCUCAACCUGGGAACUGCAUUCGAAACUGGCAGGCUUGAGUCUUGUAGAGGGGGGUAGAAUUCCAGGUGUAGCGGUGAAAUGCGUAGAGAUCUGGAGGAAUACCGGUGGCGAAG